UGGGGAAUUGUUCGCAAUGGGCGCAAGCCCGACGACGCAACGCCGCGUGAUGGAUGAAGUCCCUCUGGGACGUAAACAUCUUUUAUGAGGGAGAAAGUUUAUUGAUAGUACCUCACGAAUAAGGGGUUGCUAAACUCGUGCCAGCAGCAGCGGUAAUACGAGUGCCCCGAGCGUUAUCCGGAAUCAUUGGGCGUAAAGGGUGUGUAGGUGGCAUUGUUAGUCACACGUUAAACCCUGGGGCUUAACCCCAGAUCUGCGUGUGAUACGGCAAAGCUAGAGGAUGGCAGGGAUGUAUGGAACUCAUGGAGUAGGGGUGAAAUCCGUUGAUAUCAUGGGGAACACCGAAAGCGAAGGCAGUACAUUGGGCCACUCCUGACACUGAAACACGAAAGCGUGGGUAGCGAAUGGGAUUAGAUACCCCAGUAGUCCCUGAGCGGGCUGGCAAGGCGCAU
RNAcentral lists this ribosomal RNA (452 nucleotides) under uncultured bacterium. RNAcentral describes it as "bacterial SSU rRNA". It matches the Rfam family "Bacterial small subunit ribosomal RNA", at positions 355 to 825 of the family's 1533-position model. The record is from RNAcentral.